GGGAAGCCGAGAUAUCAGACUA
This 22-nucleotide non-coding RNA is filed under the name Arabidopsis thaliana (thale cress). Lineage: Eukaryota; Viridiplantae; Streptophyta; Magnoliopsida; Brassicales; Brassicaceae. The record is from RNAcentral.